Molecule: ribosomal RNA, 253 nt
Filed under: uncultured bacterium
Lineage: Bacteria
Description: partial 16S ribosomal RNA
Rfam family: Bacterial small subunit ribosomal RNA
Source: RNAcentral
UACGAAGGGGGCUAGCGUUGUUCGGAAUUACUGGGCGUAAAGGGCGCGUAGGCGGUUUCGCUAGUCAGGCGUGAAAUCCCCAGGCUUAACCUGGGAAUUGCGCUUGAUACUUCGAGACUUAAGUGAGGGAGAGGAUAGUGGAAUUCCCAGUGUAGAGGUGAAAUUCGUAGAUAUUGGGAAGAACACCAGUGGCGAAGGCGGCUAUCUGGACCUCAACUGACGCUGAGGCGCGAAAGCGUGGGGAGCAAACAGG